This 26-nucleotide non-coding RNA is filed under the name Homo sapiens (human). Lineage: Eukaryota; Metazoa; Chordata; Mammalia; Primates; Hominidae. The record is from RNAcentral.
UGAGACGUGAUCGUCAUCAGGGCCAU